UUGGGCGACAUGGAAAAGAGAGGAUGCCACUUAUUUCUCAUGAAAGAGAAAGAGAAUGUGGCUUCUUUGGGUAUGAAUUAUUCCAUGAUGAAAGAGAGGAGAGGGGUGUGGAGAAUCUUAAAUAGAUGGAUGGUGUUGAGUUGGUUAAGUCCUAUUCCAAAUAGGACUCAUGAAUCUUGUUCCAACUUUAAUUAAUCCUUGGAUCCAAUCCUAACUAACUUAAAAAUUAGUUAUAACAAAUUAACUAAUUAGGUCCUAGCC
This 261-nucleotide long non-coding RNA is filed under the name Elaeis guineensis (African oil palm). RNAcentral's name for it is "long non-coding RNA (EGUI_LNC060123)". The record is from RNAcentral. Lineage: Eukaryota; Viridiplantae; Streptophyta; Magnoliopsida; Arecales; Arecaceae.